UACGUAGGGGGCGAGCGUUGUCCGGAUGAUUGGGCGUAAAGGGCGCGUAGGCGGCCGUGUAAGUCUGGAGUGAAUGUCCCGUUUUUAAGAUGGGAAUUGCUUUGGAUACUGUAUGGCUUGAGUGCAGGAGAGGUAAGUGGAAUUCCCAGUGUAGCGGUGAAAUGCGUAGAGAUUGGGAGGAACACCAGUGGCGAAGGCGACUUACUGGACUGUAACUGACGCUGAGGCGCGAAAGUGUGGGGAGCAAACA
RNAcentral lists this ribosomal RNA (250 nucleotides) under uncultured prokaryote. RNAcentral's name for it is "partial 16S ribosomal RNA". It matches the Rfam family "Bacterial small subunit ribosomal RNA", at positions 524 to 774 of the family's 1533-position model. The record is from RNAcentral.